GACGAACGCUGGCGGCGUGCUUAACACAUGCAAGUCGAACGGCGAACCUCUUCGGAGUGGCUCAGUGGCGUACGGGUGAGUAACCCGUGGGCAACCUGCUCCCGGCUCUGGGAUAACUCCAAGAAAUUGGGGCUAAUACCGGACGUUCACCGCUUCCCGCCUGGGUGGUGGUGCAAAGGGUUUCCGGCUGGGGAUGGACCCGCGGCCUAUCUGCCAGUUGAUCGAGUAGUGGCCUACGAAGGCGACGACGGCUAGCCGGCCUGAGUGGGUGAACGGCCACACUGGUACUAAGAGAGGGCGCAGUGGGCAACGUGGGGCAGUGGGCGGAAGCAUUGCGCAGUGGGCGGAAGCGUGUCACGACGGCGCUGGGUUGGUGAUGACCGCCUUUGGGUAGAGAACAUCAUUCAGCAAAGACGAAGCUGAAGUGACGGUACCUACAGAAGAAGCACCGGCCAACUUCGUG
Molecule: ribosomal RNA, 463 nt
Filed under: uncultured bacterium
Lineage: Bacteria
Description: partial 16S ribosomal RNA
Rfam family: Bacterial small subunit ribosomal RNA
Source: RNAcentral